UUUCCGUAGGUGAACCUGCGGAAGGAUCAUUACUGAGUGAGGGCCCCUCGGGGUCCAACCUCCCACCCGUGUUUAACGAACCUUGUUGCUUCGGCGGGCCCGCCUCACGGCCGCCGGGGGGCAUCUGCCCCCGGGCCCGCGCCCGCCGAAGCCACCUGUGAACGCUGUCUGAAGUAUGCAGUCUGAGACAAUUAUUAAAUUAGUUAAAACUUUUAACAACGGAUCUCUUGGUUCCG
RNAcentral lists this unclassified non-coding RNA (236 nucleotides) under plant metagenome. RNAcentral describes it as "partial contains small subunit ribosomal RNA, internal transcribed spacer 1, and 5.8S ribosomal RNA". The record is from RNAcentral.